RNAcentral lists this non-coding RNA (122 nucleotides) under Corynebacterium aurimucosum. Its description in RNAcentral is "atpB RNA". It matches the Rfam family "atpB RNA". The record is from RNAcentral. Lineage: Bacteria; Bacillati; Actinomycetota; Actinomycetes; Mycobacteriales; Corynebacteriaceae. RNAcentral also lists the same sequence under 1 other name.
GCGCACGCUGAUGUGCGACGGAGUCCGUGUGUGAGGCAGAGAGUUUGAGACGUCCAUCGCACCACACGGCCUUCGACAAGCUGUGUGGCCCGAACACGGGAGAGAACGCUGAGCGUUACAAC